Molecule: unclassified non-coding RNA, 1433 nt
Organism: Octopus bimaculoides (California two-spot octopus)
Lineage: Eukaryota; Metazoa; Mollusca; Cephalopoda; Octopoda; Octopodidae
Source: RefSeq, a predicted model, not a curated record
UGAUGCUGUGUUGAGGAAAGAGCUUCAGACUCGCUUGUCCAGCAUUGAAAAUACUGCGAUGGAUGGCAUGCAAAUACUUAUGAAUCGUAUUUCUGCUUCUUGCAAGACAUUUGGACUCUGCAUUAGCUUGGACAAGACUGUUGUAAUGUUCUAGCCUGCACCAGAGAAUCCAUAUGUGGAACCAGCUAUCUUGGUUGAAGGAACAAUUCUGAAAGUGGUAGACAAGUUUGUCUACCUGGGGAGCAUACUGAACCGUUCUUGAUCCCUCGAUGAUGAAAUCUCUGUCAGGCUGCAGAGAGCAACUGAUUCCUUCCGGUCUCUUCAGUCACGUAUCUGGUCCCAGCAUGGUAUCGCAAGGCAAACAAAAAUUGCUGUGUACCGUACAUAUGUACUGACAGUGCUCCUUUACUCAUGUGAGACAUGGACCCUUUACAAAUGUCAUGUAAGAGUCCUUGAACGCUUUCAUCAGAGAUGUCUCAGACACAUUCUGAAUGUUGGCUGGACCUUAAAAACCCUAGACACACAGGUCCUGAGGACAGCUGAUGUCUUGAGUAUUGAGGCAAUAGUGCACAAGCACCAGUUACGUUGGACUGGAUACCUUAUUAGAAUGAAGGAUAGCAGGAUCCGUAAGCAGAUGCUAUUUGGGGAACUUGUGAAUGGAAAGAGACCUCGGCAGAAACCAGAGCUGCGAUUUAAGGACCGUGUCAAGACAUCAUUAAAGGCCUGUGAUAUGCAGGAGACUGACUGGGAGAACAAUGCUUGUCAUCGCCACAGGUGAAGAAAGCAGGUUAAGGAGGAGGUCGACACUUUUGAGAGAGCAUGUAUUCAGCAUGAAGAACUUAUGCGUGCUGCUCGAAAGCGCACUGCUGAUGUAGUGAAUGGGGAAAGCUUGGUCUGCAAUGUUUGCAGUCGUGUAUGCUUGUCAAGAGAAGGGCUCAUUAGCCACCAACGGAGCCGCAAAUGCAAAAUAUAAGUUGGUCCUAGAGCGCACAAUGUUCUUGAAGGUCAGCAAUGGUCUUCCUCAGUCACGCGUGGACGGCCAUCAUGGAUUACCCGCAAUUUCAGAAAUGUUACUUGGCAAAUAGAUAUUUAUCCAGAUCUUGCAUAAUAAAUUUAAGAAAUGGUUAUUAUAAGAAGUGUUUGAAUUACCAUGGUCACACAGUUGGAGUUAGGAGCCAGUCACUAUUCGCAACUGCUGCUAUAACUCUAUUACUUACACAUAUAUAAGUAUAUAUGAUGCCACUACAACGAUGUAUGUGUAUUAUUUUAAAGACGUCAUUCAAUGAGAUGAGUCGUAGGGGUGAAAACCCAAUAUUGCAAGAGACCAGCUUUACUACAGGUGUCUACAAUUUUCUACGUAACACUGAGGAUAUCUUUUAAUGUUCUACACAGUAUUCUGUAACUUUAGAUUAAAAUAACUUUGUGUGAUUUCA